AGGUUUAUCUGUGUUUAUGUGGCCUAUUCUGAAACAGGUUCCAGUGGCCGUUGUGUAUGGUGUUUUUAUCUAUCUUGGAUUCUGUUCCCUAAGUUCACUGCAAUUCAUAAGUCGUUUAAAGAUUUUAUUUAUGCCGAGUAAAUAUCACCCCGACGUUAGCUAUGUCAGAAUGGUGAAGACAUGGAGAAUACAUUUGUUUACUAUCAUCCAGUUCCUUUGUUUGGUGGGAUUGUGGGUAGUGAAGAUGUCGAAAAUUGCCAUAGCGUUUCCGUUCUUUUUAAUGCUGCUUGUUCCUGUCCGACAUUUCCUGAAGAAGUUUGUUUACUCUGAACGAGAAAUUAAUGCGCUUGACAGUGAAGAAGAGGAGAAGGAAGAUGGCAAUUUUGAUGAGCAUUUUUGAUUCACUGUCAAAAAACAUUUGAUACAAAAAUCAUAUGUUAAGUUUGAAAGCAUGAUGAUAACCAUUUGUGCCUGACAUUGGGAGACUAUAGUCCCACAAUACAUUUGUACGUACAUACAUAUGUAUGCAGGGCCAGGUACAGGGUUUAAAGUUGGUGACCAAGGAUAGAGUUCAUGUUUUUUGACUAGAUUAGUAUAUUACUUGUGCCAAAAACUAUUGAUCUUUACUGCUUAAAAUCAGCUACAUAACACUGUACAAUACCUUACAGUCAGUGGUGACAUCAUCACCUUCAUUUGCACUGAAUUUUCCUAUCCCCGAUAUACUGUAGUGCCGAUUUUCGCGUAUCAUGUGCAAAAGAAGCUCAAAGCUGGGAUGAUUUUACUACAGUACAUUGCGAUGAAAUAUUUUUUCCCAACUGUUUUCAAGCUAAAGAAAUCAAGAAUUGAAUUGAAAAGAAAUUUUUGAUUUUAAAAUUGUUGAAAGGUUUAUUAAAUUGCGAUCUCCAGUACAAUCGGAAAAUUUAUAGUGAAGUUAUGACAAGGAAAGCGUGAAAAACCUCGGUUUUUACAGUCUGUGAGUUGAGGGGAUUCCAUAGAGGAUGCUGUAAAAGUGACGACAUACAUGCAUCAAAUUGUUUUUUGACAAUCCACAGAUUGCCACCGAUGAUCAGAAGGUGGUGAUGUGUCGUUAAGUGCUCCCAGAGAGAGGAAAAGAAUCUGUCAUACAACAAACUAUUAUAAUACGUAGUAGAUGAAUCCAUCAAUCAUUAUUAUCAAAUAUGAAAGUAGUUUAAAAAAUGCCAUCGUCAAUCCAAAAAAAAAAAAUACUUGACUACUUACAUGUGUGUCAAAUCUUGAUUAGGACAUACUGUAAACUGAGCUAGAAACUCUGUACCUCAAAAAAUAUGUGGUCAGAUAAAUAAAAACAGAUGGACCAAAUUCAUAACAUCAAAAACUGGACACGAGAAACUGAAAAAAGAUGAAAUUUCAAUCUAUUGUAUGAAAACUACAAGGGGAGAUGGUAUAAAGUUGAUGGUCUGACAUCUUUCUUUGAAGGAGAGGUGCUCUUUACUUUAGUCGUUCAUUUAACAACAUUUAAGAGGAGUAGGGCAUGAAGGGAUAAAGAGUUCUUUAAAUUGUGAAUUAAUAUUUAUACACCUGGAUUGAGAGAAAGAAACCAAAUUUAAAUUAAGUGUCUCUUGCCCAUAGCAUCUUGCAUGGCAAAGAUUGUGAACCCUAACCUCAAGGUUUUUCAUAGGCAGUUGGCAUCAUAUCAAAAUAGAGCAUGUACCGUAAUAAUAAUAAUACCUUUAAUAUAAAUAUUUAUUAUUCAGAGGCAAAGGCAUGAUUUAUUUUUAUAAAGUGGUAGACAUAACAAAGCGAUUUGUAACUUCAUGUCCACUUCAUUUUAUGACAAUGGGGACCGAAGUGAACCACAGAAUCGAGGUAAUCCCCCACUCUUCUCAAAGAUGCAAUGGAGUAGAGAUGUAGCUUGGUGGUUAAGGUGCCUGCCUUCCAAUCCCAGGGUCCUGGGGUCAAAUCCUGUGAUGGCACAGGUUUUUUUUUUUGGUUUUUUUUUACAAUACGCUGGAAAGGUCACCUUAAAAAAUAUGGCUUAACAAGAAGAAAAUUAAUUCUUUAAAGUUCAUAUAUGUCAAAUGUGUACGCUGGACCUCAAUUUGAAGUCAUUAUACGAGAAGACUUUGUAGAUACAUAUGGUAUGUAUAGUGUCUGCAGAAAGCUUGGGUUUAAAACCAAGAUGGGGAAAAGUUUUUCUUCUUGCAGAUCUUUCUUUUUCAAUGAUCUCAGAUUAAAGAUGGAUACUAUAUGUAUUCAUCUUACUUUUUCUCUAACUUUAAUUAUAAAAUCUACUCUGUUCGUUUAUGUUUACAAAACAUUUUACCUUAAUGUAAUAUAAUAAAUAUAUAUGUAUAUCUUUAUCUUUGUAUAAGUUUAUUUACCUAUAUAUUCAAGUUAAGAGAAUGUUGGUUAUUAAACACCAAGCAAUAUUAUGUUCAAUAAUCUGCAUAGAGUGAUAACAAACUAAUAUAUUACUGUUUAGUUUUAUGUGAAUACAUCAAGAAGUGUAACAAAAGGAAUGCAUGCAUGGGUAAUUAAUCUACGAUAAGUACCGUAUUUAUUCGCAUAAAUGCCACAUGGUGUUUAUAUUUGUUGAGAAAGGUUUUUGAGGGAGCGUUUAUUGGAGGAGUAAUUUUUUGGAGGCAGUCAUUAAUUUGUUUUGAGGGUGGCAUUUAUUUAUUUAUUUAUUUUGGGUGUAAAAUGGAUACGUAUAUACUCAAAUAAAUGCCCCUAAAUUUCACUGUAAGAUGUGGAACUACAACAUACUGUAUAAUUACCAUCAAAGUGUCUUAUUGCUGGACAUAAACACUUAAGGAUUCUAACCCGGUUAGAAAAAUUGUAAUUCUACUGGAGUAGAUCAUUAAUAGAAUGUGUUGAGAAUGAUGCUUCUAUUACAUUGUUUGGGAUGGGGGGAGGGUGUUUAUUCGAGAAAGAAAUAAAUGCCUCCAAACUUUUAUUCAAGGAGGAAUUUAUACCAAAUGAGGCUCUAGAGGGGAAUUUAUUCAAGGUGGGAGGGUGUUUAUUCAAAGCGGGCAUUUAUUUGAAUAAAUACGGUAUGUAUUUGAGUGAAUUUAAAAGUAUUAAUUAGAUUGAGCAUGAUUAAUGUAUUUCAGUCCAUACAGAAAUUUAUUCAUAGAUGAAUUGUUCGAAAUAUAUUUCUAUUAUAAAAACAAACAACUUUUUCUGAAAUAUGUAUGCAAUAUUUAGAAUUGUAAUACUCUAUUUAUCAUGACUACUUCAUGAAUUUAUCCAAACCUUAGGGGUAUAUCCAUGUUUUCAUAUUUUUUACGAAACAUGCUAGUUGGGAGGGGGGUCAACAUUGUAUGUACUCGUUUGUGAAGAUGAUCUCAAAAUGACAAAUCCAUUUUUAUUAAGUAUUCUUUUAGGGGAAGGGUAUUUUUAAAAAGGAUGAAAAAAUGGAUCACCCCUUAUUCUGAUUAAUAAUUAAGAUAUUUUGAAAAGGUUGGUUUGUGAUCUUGUGGUAUCUAUAUUUGUUUCCUCCAGUGGCCUGUUAAUAGCAAUAAGAGAGGAAAAUGGAAUAAACUCAUUGAAAAACUGUGA
RNAcentral lists this long non-coding RNA (3540 nucleotides) under Anneissia japonica. Its description in RNAcentral is "uncharacterized LOC117103973". The record is from RNAcentral. Lineage: Eukaryota; Metazoa; Echinodermata; Crinoidea; Comatulida; Comatulidae.